GUGAAGUCCGGGCAGGCAGGGGCGGUACUGCGGGGGGGGCAAACGUUGGUCGUAAUCAUUGGGCGUAAAGGGCAGGUAGGCGGUCUGUGAAGUCGGGGGUGAAAGCCCUGGGCUCAACCCAGGAAGUGCACUCGAAACUGGCGGGCUUGAAUAUGGAAGAGGGUCGCGGAAUUCCCGGUGUAGAGGUGAAAUUCGUAGAUAUCGGGAGGAACACCAGUGGCGAAGGCGGCGACCUGGGCCAAUAUUGACGCUGAGGUGCGAAAGCGUGGGGAGCAAACAGGAUUAGAUACCCGAGUAGUC
Molecule: ribosomal RNA, 300 nt
Filed under: uncultured Salinisphaera sp.
Lineage: Bacteria; Pseudomonadati; Pseudomonadota; Gammaproteobacteria; Salinisphaerales; Salinisphaeraceae
Description: bacterial SSU rRNA
Rfam family: Bacterial small subunit ribosomal RNA
Source: RNAcentral